UCAACGCUGGCGGCGUGCCUAACACAUGCAAGUCGAACGAGAAAGGAGACUUCGGUCUCUGAGUAAAGUGGCGAACGGGUGAGUAACGCGUGGGUAACCUGCCCUUAGGUUGGGGAUAACUCGGGGAAACCCGGGAUAAUACCGGAUAAGCCCUUGGAUUUGUUUUCAAGGGGAAAGCUUUCGAGUGCCUUUGGAGGGGCCCGCGUCCGAUUAGCUAGUAGGGGAGGUAAGAGCUUCCCUAGGCGACGAUCGGUAGCCGGUCUGAGAGGACGGACGGCCACACUGGGACUGAGACACGGCCCAGACUCCUACGGGAGGCAGCAGUGGGGAAUUUUGCGCAAUGGGGGAAACCCUGACGCAGCAACGCCGCGUGGAGGAAGAAGGCUUUCGAGUCGUAAACUCCUGUCCCCGGGGACGAAGCAAGUGACGGUACCCGGGGAGGAAGCCCCGGCUAACUCC
RNAcentral lists this ribosomal RNA (459 nucleotides) under uncultured bacterium. Its description in RNAcentral is "bacterial SSU rRNA". It matches the Rfam family "Bacterial small subunit ribosomal RNA", at positions 32 to 504 of the family's 1533-position model. The record is from RNAcentral.